RNAcentral lists this ribosomal RNA (500 nucleotides) under uncultured bacterium. RNAcentral's name for it is "partial 16S ribosomal RNA". It matches the Rfam family "Bacterial small subunit ribosomal RNA", at positions 30 to 523 of the family's 1533-position model. The record is from RNAcentral.
AUUGAACGCUGGCGGAAUGCUUUACACAUGCAAGUCGAACGGCAGCACGGACUUCGGUCUGGUGGCGAGUGGCGAACGGGUGAGUAACAUAUCGGAACGUAUCCAAUAAUAGGGGAUAACGAGUCGAAAGAUUCGCUAAUACCGCAUACGCCCUACGGGGGAAAGCUGGGGACCUUCGGGCCUGGCGCUAAUGGAGAGGCCGAUAUCUGAUUAGCUAGUUGGUGAGGUAAAGGCUCACCAAGGCGACGAUCAGUAGCUGGUCUGAGAGGACGACCAGCCACACUGGAACUGAGACACGGUCCAGACUCCUACGGGAGGCAGCAGUGGGGAAUUUUGGACAAUGGGCGCAAGCCUGAUCCAGCCAUUCCGCGUGAGUGAAGAAGGCCUUCGGGUUGUAAAGCUCUUUCGCAAGGGAAGAAAACUUAGCCACUAACAUUGGUUGAGGUUGACGGUACCUUGAUAAGAAGCACCGGCUAACUACGUGCCAGCCGCCGCGGUAA